CAGCCAUAUCACGUUGAAAUGCCAAUUCUCAUACGAUCACCGAAGUUAAGCAACAUUGAGACUGGUCAGUACCUAGAUGGGUGAUCACUUGGGAAUACUAGGUGCAGU
This is a non-coding RNA of Acanthosepion pharaonis, 108 nucleotides long. The record is from the annotation of a GenBank genome assembly. NCBI's taxonomy places the organism in Eukaryota, Metazoa, Mollusca, Cephalopoda, Sepiida, Sepiidae.